This 453-nucleotide ribosomal RNA is filed under the name uncultured eukaryote. RNAcentral's name for it is "bacterial SSU rRNA". It matches the Rfam family "Eukaryotic small subunit ribosomal RNA", at positions 4 to 459 of the family's 1831-position model. The record is from RNAcentral.
CUGGUUGAUCCUGCCAGUAGUCAUAUGCUUGUCUCAAAGAUUAAGCCAAGCAUGUCUAAGUAUAAGCUUUUAUACGGUGAAACUGGCAGACGGCUCAUUAAAACAGUUAUGGUUUACUUGAUGGUUCCUUGCUACAUGGAUAACCGUAGUAAUUCUAGAGCUAAUACAUGCCGAAAGGCCCUUUUCUGGGUCGGGUUUAUUAGAUCAAAGCCAAACGCCCCCCUGGGGUGCUCCUUGGUGAAUCAUAGUAACCUGUCUGAUCGCCUGGCUUCAAGCCUGGCGACGUUUCAUACAAAUUUCUGCCCUAUCAGCUUUUGACGGUACGUAUUGGCCUACCGUGGCAUUAACGGGUAACGGAAGAAUUAGGGUUCGGUUCCGGAGAGGGAGCCCUGAGAAACGGCUACCCAUUCUAAGGAAGGCAGCAGGCGCGCAAAUUACCCAAUCCUGACACAG